UAGAUAGAUAGAUAGAAUAGGCUACAAUUGGAAUGAUACAGAGAAGAGUUGCAUGGCCCUGUGCAAGGAUGACAAGCACAUUUGUGAAGCGUUCCAUAUUUUU
Small nuclear RNA from Hemicordylus capensis (graceful crag lizard), 103 nucleotides. Lineage: Eukaryota; Metazoa; Chordata; Lepidosauria; Squamata; Cordylidae. The record is from RefSeq and is a predicted model, not a curated record.